Molecule: long non-coding RNA, 795 nt
Filed under: Manacus vitellinus (golden-collared manakin)
Lineage: Eukaryota; Metazoa; Chordata; Aves; Passeriformes; Pipridae
Description: lncRNA (ENSMVIG00005011044.1)
Source: RNAcentral
UUUUUACCUCAAAACCUGCACUUUUUACCUCAGGAUUUCCUCCCACACCCCAAAAUCUGCCUUUUUCACCCCAAAAUCUGCCUUUUCACCCCAAAAUCUACAUUUUUUACCUCAAAAUCUGCAUUUUUACCUCAAAAUCUGCAUUUUUUACCCCAAAAUCUGCAAUUUUUACCUCAGGAUUCCCUCCCACACCCCAAAAUCUGCCUUUUUCCCCAAAAAAUCUGUCCCCAGAUCCCAAAAAUCUGCAUUUUUUACCUCAAAACCUGCACUUUUUACCUCAGGAUUUCCUCCCACACCCCAAAAUCUGCCUUUUUCACCUCAAAAUCUGUCCCCAGACCCCAAAAUCUGCCUUUUUCACCUCAAAAUCUGCCUUUUCACCCCAAAAUCUGCCUUUUUUACCUCAAAAUCUGCAAAUUUUACCUCAGAAUCUGCAAUUUUUACCUCAAAAUCUGCAAUUUUUACCUCAGGAUUUCCUCCCACACCCCAAAAUCUGCCUUUUCACCCCAAAAAAUCUGCACCCAGACCCCAAAAAUCUGCAUUUUUCACCCCAAAAUCUGCAAUUUUUACCUUAGAAUUUCUUCCCACACCCCAAAAUGUGCAUUUUUCACCCCAAAAUCUGUCCCCAGACCCCAAAAUCUGCAUUUUUACCUCAAAAUCUGCAAUUUUUACCUCAGGAUUUCCUCCCACACCCCAAAAUCUGCCUUUUCACCCCAAAAUCUGCAUUUUUUACCUCAAAACCUUCAAUUUUUACCUCAGGAUUUCCUCCCACACCCCAAAAUCUGCCUUUUUCACCCC